CCUACGGGGGGCUGCAGUGGGGAAUAUUGGACAAUGGGGGCAACCCUGAUCCAGCCAUGCCGCGUGUGUGAAGAAGGCCCUCGGGUUGUAAAGCACUUUCAGUGAGGAAGAACGCCUGGUGGUUAAUACCCAUCAGGAAAGACAUCACUCACAGAAGAAGCACCGGCUAACUCCGUGCCAGCAGCCGCGGUAAUACGGAGGGUGCGAGCGUUAAUCGGAAUUACUGGGCGUAAAGCGCGUGUAGGUGGCUUGAUAAGCCGGUUGUGAAAGCCCCGGGCUCAACCUGGGAACGGCAUCCGGAACUGUCAAGCUAGAGUGCAGGAGAGGAAGGUAGAAUUCCCGGUGUAGCGGUGAAAUGCGUAGAGAUCGGGAGGAAUACCAGUGGCGAAGGCGGCCUUCUGGACUGACACUGACACUGAGGUGCGAAAGCGUGGGUAGCAAACAGGAUUAGAUACCCUAGUAGUC
Molecule: ribosomal RNA, 465 nt
Filed under: Vreelandella stevensii
Lineage: Bacteria; Pseudomonadati; Pseudomonadota; Gammaproteobacteria; Oceanospirillales; Halomonadaceae
Description: partial 16S ribosomal RNA
Rfam family: Bacterial small subunit ribosomal RNA
Source: RNAcentral